AUUGAACGCUGGUGGCAGGCCUAACACAUGCAAGUCGAACGGUAACAGGAAACAGCUUGCUGUUUCGCUGACGAGUGGCGGACGGGUGAGUAAUGUCUGGGAAACUGCCUGAUGGAGGGGGAUAACUACUGGAAACGGUAGCUAAUACCGCAUAACGUCGCAAGACCAAAGAGGGGGACCCUCGGGCCUCUUGCCAUCGGAUGUGCCCAGAUGGGAUUAGCUUGUUGGUGGGGUAACGGCUCACCAAGGCGACGAUCCCUAGCUGGUCUGAGAGGAUGACCAGUCACACUGGAACUGAGACACGGUCCAGACUCCUACGGGAGGCAGCAGUGGGGAAUAUCGCACAAUGGGCGCAAGCCUGAUGCAGCCAUGCCGCGUGUAUGAAGAAGGCCUUCGGGUUGUAAAGUACUUUCAGCGGGGAGGAAGGGAGUAAAGUUAAUACCUUUGCUCAUUGACGUUACCCGCAGAAGAAGCACCGGCUAACUCCGUGCCAGCAGCCGCGGUAAUACGGAGGGUGCAAGCGUUAAUCGGAAUUACUGGGCGUAAAGCGCACGCAGGCGGUUUGUUAAGUCAGAUGUGAAAUCCCCGGGCUCAACCUGGGAACUGCAUCUGAUACUGGCAAGCUUGAGUCUCGUAGAGGGGGGUAGAAUUCCAGGUGUAGCGGUGAAAUGCGUAGAGAUCUGGAGGAAUACCGGUGGCGAAGGCGGCCCCCUGGACGAAGACUGACGCUCAGGUGCGAAAGCGUGGGGAGCAAACAGGAUUAGAUACCCUGGUAGUCCACGCCGUAAACGAUGUCGACUUGGAGGUUGUGCCCUUGAGGCGUGGCUUCCGGAGCUAACGCGUUAAGUCGACCGCCUGGGGAGUACGGCCGCAAGGUUAAAACUCAAAUGAAUUGACGGGGGCCCGCACAAGCGGUGGAGCAUGUGGUUUAAUUCGAUGCAACGCGAAGAACCUUACUUGGUCUUGACAUCCACGGAAGUUUUCAGAGAUGAGAAUGUGCCUUCGGGAACCGUGAGACAGGUGCUGCAUGGCUGUCGUCAGCUCGUGUUGUGAAAUGUUGGGUUAAGUCCCGCAACGAGCGCAACCCUUAUCCUUUGUUGCCAGCGGUCCGGCCGGGAACUCAAAGGAGACUGCCAGUGAUAAACUGGAGGAAGGUGGGGAUGACGUCAAGUCAUCAUGGCCCUUACGACCAGGGCUACACACGUGCUACAAUGGCGCAUACAAAGAGAAGCGACCUCGCGAGAGCAAGCGGACCUCAUAAAGUGCGUCGUAGUCCGGAUUGGAGUCUGCAACUCGACUCCAUGAAGUCGGAAUCGCUAGUAAUCGUGGAUCAGAAUGCCACGGUGAAUACGUUCCCGGUCAA
This 1363-nucleotide ribosomal RNA is filed under the name uncultured bacterium. RNAcentral's name for it is "bacterial SSU rRNA". It matches the Rfam family "Bacterial small subunit ribosomal RNA", at positions 28 to 1381 of the family's 1533-position model. The record is from RNAcentral.